RNAcentral lists this ribosomal RNA (253 nucleotides) under uncultured bacterium. RNAcentral's name for it is "partial 16S ribosomal RNA". It matches the Rfam family "Bacterial small subunit ribosomal RNA", at positions 524 to 776 of the family's 1533-position model. The record is from RNAcentral.
UACGUAGGGGGCAAGCGUUGUCCGGAAUCAUUGGGCGUAAAGCGCGUGUAGGCGGCUCGGUAAGUCUACUGUGAAAGUCCAGGGCUCAACCCUGGGAUGCCGGUGGAUACUGUCGAGCUCGAGUCCGGAAGAGGCGAGUGGAAUUCCUGGUGUAGCGGUGAAAUGCGCAGAUAUCAGGAGGAACACCAAUGGCGAAGGCAGCUCGCUGGGACGUAACUGACGCUGAGACGCGAAAGCGUGGGGAGCAAACAGG